GUCGGGACAGUACCUAUUUAGGGAAACGUGAGACAGUACCCUAUUCUUGGGGGAGUAGUGGGUGAGGUUAUGAAUUGGGUUGAAUAUAUUUGUGAAGCAGAGAAACCUAGGGGGAAGAGGAUACCCAAUCUUAAUAUUAUGAUAUAUCAGGUAUGUAAAAUGAUUGAUGUAAAUGUAGAUGAGUCUUUACUUAAGAUUCCUAAGGGGAAGGUCCCUCACGAUCGGUGUAGGAAAUUGUUUCAGAAGCUGGGUUUGAAGUAUACUGAAUAAUUCUAAUGUCUUUUACCAGUCAUUAAAAUUGAAGUAUUAGUUUUAGGGUAACGAUAGCAAGGAGAACCUCAACCGUUAUUGGAAUUAGCAGGAGGCUGAUCAGACACAACCAUACUAGUUUCCGUGGUAUUCUCAUCAUUUUGUUUAUCGUAUUUCUUUACGGUUGUGCUGGCAUAACCGAUUUGGGUAUGUGCGCUCAUUGUGAUGUCACCCCGUUCGAUACCGAUACCCAGGUUAAACAUUUUCCUCCUUUUAUGAUUUUUGUUAUACUUUAUUCUGUUCUCGGUUUCGGGUUUUGAGGACAGGCAUCCCAUUUUAUUUCUUAGCCUUAUGUUUUAUGGGUUUGGGUUUAGGUUUAGGUUCUGGUUUGGGUUCCGGACAACAUUUACCCUUCUUCAUGUAUUUGUAGUUCUUUACGCUGGAACUGUUAAAUUCGACCCUUGCAUCUGCACCGAAGGUUAGACUUCCCUUACCCACCUUAACACCAACGUUUGCUUCCUUAUUUUUCUUUUGCUCUUUGACGAUUUUUUCCUUUUUAUCUCCGCUACUCAUUUUUAUUUAACCGGAAAAUAAAAAUGCCAUUCAACAUGAUUAUUGUAGGUAUGACAGCCUGUGGGAAGACGCAUUACCUCGUUCGGGAGUUAAAGACGACGUUUUCCCGUCAAUUUGAAAAUAUAUUUCUGAUCUGUCCUACCUAUCACUGG
Non-coding RNA from Paramuricea clavata, 974 nucleotides. The record is from the annotation of a GenBank genome assembly. NCBI's taxonomy places the organism in Eukaryota, Metazoa, Cnidaria, Anthozoa, Malacalcyonacea, Plexauridae.